UGCAGAAAUAAAAACUCUCUUCCCAGCUCAUCUGCUUCUCCUUACUGGGCCGCGAGAAAUAGCAGCCUAACCCUCAGUUUGGUCUGGGAACAACUGUACUCCAGCCUGGGUGACGGAAUGAGACUGUGUCUCAAAAAUAAACAAACAAAAUAAUAAAUUAAAACUAAUUUUAUUAAUUUUUAUUGUUACUAUUUUAUAGUGUCAUAAAUCACAGUUAACCACAAAUUAUUCUUGUUAGAAAAUACACUUUUUUAUGAAAUUUGGCAGGAAAGUUUUUGUUUACAUGGAGUUCCAUAAAGAGUCCUUGAUGUAGUAAGAACUCAUAAGGCAAGCAGGCAGCUGAGGCCUCCUGAGACAGGAAUGCACAUAGCGCUUGGGCCCUGCAGGCGGAGCGGGCUCGGGGACCUGGCGCAGCGCUCUGUCACUCUGGGAAGGAGACGCUAGCCCGCAGGCUGCGGCUGAUGCUGGGGUCCUGCACUAGCGCGAAGGUCAGCUCCAUGCCGGCGAGGCCAGGACGGACUCCAGAGCCUCAGUGUGCUGAGCGCAGGCGCCCAGUACUCGGCGGAGCUGGCGCCCCGCUAGACGCAAGGACUCCACAAGGACCCCAGAGCCAGAUCCCUGCGAGGCCCCGGCAUUCCCUGACCUGGCGGGGAAUCCUGGCCCCCGAUGGUCUACGGCAGCCCCCAGCCGGCUCCCGGGAUGGCUUGCAGCGCCCGCAGGCUUCUCCAGCCUCCAGAACUGCAGGAGCUGCGGUCCAAGCCAGUUCCUGGGCUCCGGGAGAAACUGAGCGGAGAAACAGUGCUGAAACAUGA
This 812-nucleotide long non-coding RNA is filed under the name Pan paniscus (pygmy chimpanzee). RNAcentral describes it as "lncRNA (ENSPPAG00000045443.1)". The record is from RNAcentral. Lineage: Eukaryota; Metazoa; Chordata; Mammalia; Primates; Hominidae.